AGUACGCAUGAAAAUCGUUUGCUACAGCUGAUUUUGACAAGGCGUGCGUUUAUUAUGCAGCAGAAUUGCACAAUUGUUUUCUAUUCUGGGAAGUCGUUAAUUUUUUUUUAUUAAAUAAGGAUAAUAAUGCGUCUAACUGAAGUGUUAUUUAAGAAAGUUAAAAGCAAACGCAUCAUGGUGCUCAUGGAGAGCGUGGUCAGUGGCCAUCAAUUCAAUAUGUUCCGUGAUCGUUUAGCGGAAAAGCUGGAGUUGAUACGCUUUGAUCCAUAUAUACAACAGGAGUCCAUAUACCGCGAACGCAAGAGGAUACGCAGCGCUAAGUGAUAUAUGUACAUAUUAAUCUGCUAAAUGUAGAAAAAUAAGUUAAUGAGCAUUUGUUUUCAUUUGUAGCACAAAACUGCUGUUAGAUAGCAAAUGAUUACCAUAAAAAUAAAAGCACUUCUAGAUGUCUGAAGCAAGAAUGUAAGGUUACUAAAAGUUUUUGUAAUCUUAAUACGUAUGCACAUUUAUACAAAUUAAAUUGGUUUAUUUUAGUAUACCUAUAAAGGGUUAUAGUUUGUAUAUGUACUGACAUAAUGUUCUGGCAGAGGUCCAAAAUGUUUAAAUCGAUGCUUAAACUAAGCUUGGGGAAAAAGUUAAAAGGCUUAUUUAAAUAAAAGUUGUAAUGAAUCAUUGGAAACAUCACGAGAAUUAAGCUUUUCAACACACUUCGGCAGCGUAAUCGAGACCGACCCAAAAGUAAGUGAAAAAAUUUGAGUAGCGACGUAAAAGAGUGAGCAAUAAAAAGUUGCUGAUAAGAAAAAAAGAAAUAAAUCCCACCAAGUAAAACCAUUGAAAAGCAAAAGUAGUGGAAACGUGAAGUUUGGAAAAAAUUAGAAUGGCAAAAGUUGCACUAAAGUAACAAAAAAAAAAAUAAUAAAUACUAGAUCAAUAAAAAAAAUCCUUAAACUGUCAGUUUUGUAUCACACCAUUAACUACAUCGCUGUGUUAGCAAAUUCGCGCAAAAGAAAAUUUUGUCCGAACAGCAAAAAUUGCGUGGAAAUAUAUUUUACGCAAAAUCAGCGUAAAAUAAACAGCAGAAAAAAGAAAAAAAAUUCUGCAA
This is an RNA transcript of Rhagoletis zephyria (snowberry fruit fly), 1102 nucleotides long. It is a transcript of the gene named mitochondrial ribosomal protein L33, with no coding region annotated. The record is from RefSeq and is a predicted model, not a curated record. Lineage: Eukaryota; Metazoa; Arthropoda; Insecta; Diptera; Tephritidae.